AUUAGGGCAGACGGGUGAGUAAUGUAUAGGAAUCUACCUUAGUAGUAUGGAAUAAUUGUUGGAAACGGCAACUUAAUACCCGUAUACGCCCUACCGGGGGAAAAAUUUAUUGCUAUUGGAUGAGCCUAUAUUAGAUUAGCUAGUUGGUGGAGUAAUAGCCUACCCAAGGNCAAUGAUCUAUAGCUGAUCUGAGAGGAUGAUCAGCCACACUGGAACUGAGAUACSGUCCNAGACUCCUACNGGGAGGCAGCAGUGGGGAAUAUUGGACAAUGGGCGAAAGCCUGAUCCAGCCAUGCCGCAUGAGUGAAGAAGGCCUUUGGGUUGUAAAGCUCUUUUAGUGAGGAAGAUAAUGACGGUACUCACAGAAGAAGUCCUGGCUAACUCCGUGCCAGCAGCCGCGGUAAUACGGAGAGGGCUAGCGUUAUUCGGAAUUAUUGGGCGUAAAGGGCGCGUAGGCUGGUUAAUAAGUUAAAAGUGAAAUCCCGAGGCUUAACCUUGGAAUUGCUUUUAAAACUAUUAAUCUAGAGAUUGAAAGAGGAUAGAGGAAUUCCUGAUGUAGAGGUAAAAUUCGUAAAUAUUAGGAGGAACACCAGUGGCGAAGGCGUCUAUCUGGUUCAAAUCUGACGCUGAAGCGCGAAGGCGUGGGGAGCAAACAGGAUUAGAUACCCUGGUAGUCCACGCUGUAAACGAUGAAUGUUAAAUAUGGGAAGUUUACUUUCUGUAUUACAGCUAACGCGUUAAACAUUCCGCCUGGGGACUACGGUCGCAAGAUUAAAACUCMAAGGAAUUGACGGGGACCCGCACAAGCGGUGGAGCAUGUGGUUUAAUCGAGCACGCGAAACUAC
This 845-nucleotide ribosomal RNA is filed under the name Wolbachia endosymbiont of Icosta sp. 2 ES-2018. RNAcentral's name for it is "bacterial SSU rRNA". It matches the Rfam family "Bacterial small subunit ribosomal RNA", at positions 92 to 970 of the family's 1533-position model. Lineage: Bacteria; Pseudomonadati; Pseudomonadota; Alphaproteobacteria; Rickettsiales; Anaplasmataceae. The record is from RNAcentral.